UUAUACAACCUCCUUAUGAAAUAUUUGCUGUAUUUUGUUGUCACACUGCAAGUUUUCUUCGUUUGGAUUUCACUGUCAAUAUUGUUUUCAGUGUUCCUUCCCCUGAGACCAAUCACCCCUCCAUGACCCACACCCCUCAUUCAACAUCGGAAAGGUGUGUGUAUGUGUGUGUGUGUGUGUGUGUGUGUGUGAGUGAAUGGUUAGCUUCCGAGAAGAAGCAUGGGCACGACUGUGGCCUUCUUCCUCCUAACCAACCCCUUCUCUUAUUUCACCCCUAGCUCUACAUGGUGAGAAAAUCUCUCUUCAAUAUUCAUCUCUGAGGAUUUAUAACUAGGUCUGACUGAAUGGUUGGGCAUUUUUUAAAGGUCUGGUACAAAAAAUACCAAAAACUCCUCCUCCAUUUUUAGCCCUAACACCCUGAUGAAGAGGGAGGGCAAAACUAAGUGGUUAACAUCUUCAUGGCAUAUUGGUUAGCUGUGAAAACCCAUAUUAGAUGCAUUGCAGCCUCAACCUGGCUUGGAAAGUCAGUGUCAAAAAUGAAACCUGUUUUGCAGGUGGUUGACAAACAACCUGUCCAAAUGUUGACCUGGACAUUAGCGACAUGCACACCGUCCUAAUGCCUACAACGGAGAACUGCCAAAGUUCAUUUCCUUUCCGUAACUUCACACGGCUUCUCAGUUUGUUUGUUUUUGACACUCAUCAGUUCCUCCCCCUGCUAAACCAACAGAGCACCUUAAAAACAUGACCACACCUCAGCCAUACAUCCCCGACCAACCAUCGAGUCUUGAUUAAAGAGUCUGGACCCUGACUUUUCUUUUGACGACGUACAAGGCAGAACCCCCUUGGAGAAUGAAUGUAAGGCUUGGGGAGACAGAGAGGGACACGAGGGAGUGACGGAAGGAAGGAUGAGCCGCUGUUUAUGGGUGUUCCAGCGGCAGCUGACAGAAGCCACAUUUUCAAUAGGGUGUGAAAUUCCUGCUUGGAUGGGACCUCCGCCUGGUAAAUAGCAGAGGGGACAGAGAGGGAGGGGAAGCAUCGUCAGUCUGUCUGCCCUCGCUGGUCCCAUGAGCCUUCCCAUCAUGCCCAGGGAAAAAAAGGGGAGUUUAUCUGUGGUCGCCGAUGCUCGACCGAUAUCCCCGCUGACCUCAGCAGGGAGGCAUCCGCAAAGGCCAACAAAACACUAUGUGAAGAGGUCCUGCGGUGGUGCUGUGCGGCCUGAGCUGUUACAGAAAUAGCUGUCAUUAAAUAACGCCACCAGUCGGGGCCGAAGGGCAACAAAUGAAGAUGAUGCAUCGCAUAAACGCACCUGGAGCACAAAGAAUUCUAACACGCGAUCACUGUAAUUUCUAUGUCGAUGUGAUUCGAGGAAAGACGUCCUUUGAUGAGAGAGGGAACGGCAUAUUAGACUCGGCUGUCAACUCAAAUGCACAGCUGUCACCACAAUAUGGCUUCAAAGCAGCCUGAAGACUUUACAUAUUGCCACCAAAAUACAAAGAAAUGACAAUGUAAGCCUUUUGACGAGAAAAGAGCCCAACAGGACUCGUACCAGUCUUUGCUCUGUGAGAUAUGAAAAAGGCGGAUUUAAUCAAAAGCGCAUAGGAGGAGACCACAGAGCUCCCGUUUCUGCCGAAGUUCUGAUGAAGAAAAGGAAGAGAAAAGGAAGGGCAAAAGGAGAAGGAGAGGAAGACAAAGAGGUAAUGAAAGGCAAAAGUGGGCUGCCGCUGGAGAGAGGAGAAAGGAAGGUCCUGCAACCUUGAGAAGUCUAUGUGAAAUGUUGCCAGGAUCCCCCCCCCCCCCCCCUAUCAGCACCCAUGGGAAACUUCAGAACAUUCACACAGAACAGCAGAAAAUGCCCAAGACAAAAUGACAAACAGUGACAGAUAGCACCGGAUGGAAAAGAGAUGAAGAGAGAGAACGAUGUUAUCAGCACUCCUGUGCCCGUGCUCGCUGUUUGUAGUCUGUUUUGUCGAAGUGUCUCUCCUGCUUGUUUGUAGAAUGUGUUCUGUUUCCCCGGCGGAUGCAGCCAGUUGAGAAAACAGGGAUUCGCUGCAAACACCACUUUUGUGCUGGAGUGGGUAACGGAGGGUAUCACGGUCCCUUGUGGAAACUUUCUUGAAAGCAUGAGAGGAGAAGUGAGUGCAAUGUGUUCACCAAGACAUGUAGGCAUACUCCGAAUACAUGCAGACCCGCAUAGAAGAAUACACACACACACACACAGACACACACACAGAGACAUAAAAAAUACACUUUGAUGUCUACUCUCACAGACCACAAAACAGAUUCUCUAACACACACACACCCACUCAAGCCCAAAAUUCUGUAUUCACUUAUCCAGUUGAGCAAACACAAACUAUUGUCACCGCGUGCACGCACACACAUAAACACGACACACAACUAAGAUUCCCUGCUCGUCUUCAAAAGCGGUGACUCUGGUGAUUAAGCGCCGUGGAAUUUGUUUGGGAGCUCAAAGGAGACACUGUACUUGUUUUGCACACGGUCCCUCCUUCAGGUCUGUGUGGGUGGAGGCCAUGUUGUGUCAGUGGAUGCUGAUGACAGACAAGCGGUCUUGGCCCCACACUGUCAGUGCUGAGGCAUGCAGUGGCAUGACAUAGUGUGUUAUCACAUGAAUGUGAAUCAGCCCCAAGAGCAGCAGACCACAAAUCACGACAGCGUAAGCAACAAGCGACAACAGUUUCCAUUUUAGGAAGAGGUUAUGAGGGAUGAGCAACAGGCUCCCAAGGCAAAAUGGAGAUGUUGCCUGUAUUUCUUUUUUUUUGGGGGGGGGGGGGCAGGCUGCAGAUUUGUCAUAAGAAUGACUACAUUUUGUGAGGCAUUGUGCAUGCGUGUGUAUGUGCUCUCUCAUACUGCAAUAUGGCUGCUCAUUCUCAAUUCAAUUUUCAGUUGGUUUUGGCAAGAAUAAAUUACUAGACAUGCUACUCAUUCCAAAACAAACUCGAGCCAAGAGUUGGCUUGUCAUCAUGUCAUCAUAAACAACUCAAAGAGCAACACAGAGGAUCACAAACUAUUUUACGAUGCAGGUGGAUGCAGAAGUCUCCCAAAAUUAAAAAGCAACUGCACACCUUUGA
Long non-coding RNA from Scophthalmus maximus (turbot), 3086 nucleotides. RefSeq lists it as uncharacterized. The transcript has 2 exons. NCBI's taxonomy places the organism in Eukaryota, Metazoa, Chordata, Actinopteri, Pleuronectiformes, Scophthalmidae. The record is from RefSeq and is a predicted model, not a curated record.